GUUGUUUGAUCCUGGCUCCACACACUCAUAUGUUAGUGCUAGCAUUGCUUGUUCUGCUACUAUUCCCUACUUGAAAAUGGACGUUGAUGUACUAGUGACUAGUCUAAUUAGGUUAGGAGGUCAGAGUAAAUAGGUUGUAUAAGGAUUGUCCUUUGGUGAUCCUAGGACAUACAUUCUUGUCAGACUUAAUUGAGAUGCCCUUCAGGGAUUAUGAUAUUAUCUUGGGUAUGGAGUGGCUAUCCAUGCAUCAUGCCCUUCCUAAGUACGCAGAUGUAGUAAUACACGGGGGAGAGACAGUAAUUGCCAUCCAACAUCAUCAUUUCAACUGCACUUGCUAGAAAGAUGAUUA
Molecule: unclassified non-coding RNA, 349 nt
Filed under: Hevea brasiliensis (rubber tree)
Lineage: Eukaryota; Viridiplantae; Streptophyta; Magnoliopsida; Malpighiales; Euphorbiaceae
Source: RNAcentral